This is a long non-coding RNA of Carassius gibelio (silver crucian carp), 1700 nucleotides long. RefSeq lists it as uncharacterized. The record is from RefSeq and is a predicted model, not a curated record. The transcript has 3 exons. NCBI's taxonomy places the organism in Eukaryota, Metazoa, Chordata, Actinopteri, Cypriniformes, Cyprinidae.
AAAAACGCGUCUGUCUCUGGCUCAGCGCCAGCAAGCGAUCACAGAUCUGAAUUUAGCAGCUGAUGAUAUGACUUGCUGAACGUACUCGCACUGGUGUGAUUGUAUUAAAAUUAAUAAAAUCUUAAUCGGCUAUUCUUUGUCUUUUGGAAGCUGCAUUCAACCUGUUAUAAGCCACACACGUACAACAAACUAAUGUCACAGUGGUAUUGUGUACUGUAAUCGAAUGUAGCCCAAGUUAUUACCUGUUAAACAGUAGACAGCACACGCGUUCAUCUAAUAAGGAUCUCCAUCGCAAGCAAAGAAUAGCCUUUGCAGAUUAGCUUUCAAUUCAGUGCAGUUCCAUAGCCCCGUUUUCAACGCUGCUAAUAUUCUUAAACGUUACAACUCUGAGUGAACCGCUUCAGAGCUCAGCGCGUGCAGCAUGGAACUGAACGACUCAAUCAAACUGAUUCAUGAACCAAUUCACUCGUUUGCCAAUUGGUUUGAUCAAGCCUUUGAACAGAGUUGACUCAAAAGAAUGAAUCAUUCGCGAAUGGGCAUCGCUCAUUGUCCAGAGAAAAGUAGACGGCGCGUUUGGAAUAAACUGAAGCAUUUAUUGCAUUAAGAUAAAGUAACGAGAGGGGCGUCGCCCACAGUAACGAAGUAAAAGUACAGAUUUUUCCCAAAAAAUGUACUCAAGUAAGAGUAUAAAGUACCCAUCUUUAAAUAUACUCCGAAAAGUAUUCGUUACCCCGAAAAAUUACUCAAGUAAAUGUAACGAAGUAAAUGUAACUCGUUACUACCCACCUCUGAUCUUAAUGAAACUUUGCAUGCUUGGUGGGUCAUCUUUCACAUGUUAUAACCAAGUUUCAUAAAGUUUUGAGUUUUUGUUUCAGUUUUAUAGGCUUUAGGUUACAUGUGGCCACGGCCCUUUCCUAAAUGACCUCUUAUAGCUAACCAAAGGACAAAAUGCAACAUAUUUUUGAAAAUUAUUGAUCUAAAGAGUCCAGAGAAUAUUAUUGCAGUGGUUUGAUCAAGACUGAACAAAAAACCAGGUGACCCAAAACAUUCAAAUUCGUGGACCAAUUUUACGAAAAAGGCUAUAACUCGGGAACAAAAUGAGAUAUCUUCACCAAACUCAGAACUCAUAUGCAUGAACAAAAACUUUAGUCAAAUUAUUAUUUUUUUUUCCAUAUCUGCCACUUGGUGGCGCUACAGGAUGAAAAAAAAAUCAAAUGGCUAUAACUAAGCAACCGUUGAUCCAAUCAACUUGAAAAUUGAUAUGGCCCAAUGUGGCACAAGUGCUCUAUGAGGAAUUUCACUUAUCUUAAAAAACAUGGCCGCCAUUGGCCAAACAACUUUAAGCACCUAUUUGACAAGGUUAAUGGAAGUCGAUCGGAACGAAACUCGGUGGGCAUGUUCGACUCAUUGCCCUAAAGGUCUGUAAGUAUUUUGAAAGAAAUUGCCCACAACAUUGUCACCUCCCACAGAACACAACAAAGCGAUUUGAUUACAGCGCCAACUAUUUUCCAAAAAUGAUAAUGCAUCAUUUUACUGGAGUUUUACUGGCUGUUUCAAUUACACUCUUCCAAUAAUUGCUUUUCUUACUCGUUGCAUUUGGUCUGAUGCUCCAUGCCAUGCUUAGCUCCUCGCUGUGGAACUUUUAUUAACGAUUUCAGCCAUUUCAAUUACAAUCAUGCAAUUAUUAAUUUCAUUAUUCA